Cydia splendana is the source of this 469-nucleotide long non-coding RNA. RefSeq lists it as uncharacterized. The record is from RefSeq and is a predicted model, not a curated record. NCBI's taxonomy places the organism in Eukaryota, Metazoa, Arthropoda, Insecta, Lepidoptera, Tortricidae. The transcript has 3 exons.
AAGAAUGGGUCCAAAACAACUGAUACUAUUGGUUCUAGUUUUGAACCUUGUCAUAAAUGUGGUCUGUGUUGAAAAAAUUAUUCCGGAAUACGUUUACGAAUUUGGUAAGAAAGGCCGUGGAAUAAAAAUAUAUGAUAGUCAUAGUUGGAUUGGGUGGCUUCGAUUUAAUACUCAAGUCACUAUACCUACUCCACCAAACACUCAAGUAAGCUACGUCAAAGUUACAGUGAAAGCAAUUAACCCUCCCAAAGUCGACUACGAUGACAAAACCAGAACCAUCAGUAUAAAAUACUCGCUGGUUGAGUUUUCUGGCAGUUCGUACAAAAUUUAUGCUGAAGGUAUAAAGUUAUAUUAGAAAUAUAUUAAAGGUAUUGUUUAUCCAGAAUUUUAAGAUAAUGCGGAAUUUCUCUUUAUUGUAUCUGAAAUUUUAUAAAUUGUUUCGGUAAGUAAUAAAUCAGAAGUAAAAGAA